UACAGGGGGUGCAAACGUUGCUCGGAAUCAUUGGGCGUAAAGCGCACGUAGGCGGUUCGUUAUGUCGGAUGUGAAAGCCCUUGGCUUAACCGAGGAAGUGCAUCCGAAACUGGCGAGCUAGAGUACGAAAGAGGAUCGCGGAAUUCCCGGUGUAGAGGUGAAAUUCGUAGAUAUCGGGAGGAACACCGGUGGCGAAGGCGGCGAUCUGGGUUGAUACUGACGCUGAGGUGCGAAAGCGUGGGGAGCAAACAGG
RNAcentral lists this ribosomal RNA (253 nucleotides) under uncultured bacterium. Its description in RNAcentral is "partial 16S ribosomal RNA". It matches the Rfam family "Bacterial small subunit ribosomal RNA", at positions 524 to 776 of the family's 1533-position model. The record is from RNAcentral.